Molecule: ribosomal RNA, 540 nt
Filed under: uncultured bacterium
Lineage: Bacteria
Description: bacterial SSU rRNA
Rfam family: Bacterial small subunit ribosomal RNA
Source: RNAcentral
UGAGGAAUAUUGGUCAAUGGACGGAAGUCUGAACCAGCCAAGUAGCGUGCAGGAAGACGGCCCUAUGGGUUGUAAACUGCUUUUGUAUGGGGAUAAAGUCAAUCACGUGUGAUUGUUUGCAGGUACCAUACGAAUAAGGACCGGCUAAUUCCGUGCCAGCAGCCGCGGUAAUACGGAAGGUUCGGGCGUUAUCCGGAUUUAUUGGGUUUAAAGGGAGCGUAGGCCGGAGAUUAAGUGUGUUGUGAAAUGUAGACGCUCAACGUCUGACUUGCAGCGCAUACUGGUUUCCUUGAGUACGCACAACGUUGGCGGAAUUCGUCGUGUAGCGGUGAAAUGCUUAGAUAUGACGAGGAACUCCGACUGCGAAGGCAGCUGACGGGAGCGCAACUGACGCUGAAGCUCGAAGGUGCGGGUAUCGAACAGGAUUAGAUACCCUGGUAGUCCGCACAGUAAACGAUGGAUGCCCGCUGUUGGUACCUAGUAUCAGCGGCUAAGCGAAAGCAUUAAGCAUCCCACCUGGGGAGUACGCCGGCAACGGUG